Molecule: non-coding RNA, 267 nt
Organism: Vicia faba (fava bean)
Lineage: Eukaryota; Viridiplantae; Streptophyta; Magnoliopsida; Fabales; Fabaceae
Source: the annotation of a GenBank genome assembly
AUGAAAAUCAGGAUUUUGGAAAAGCAUUGGUAUCACGGCCACAUACAACUGACGAGGAAUUGGUGUUUUGAACGGUCAAUUCACAGGAAAAGAGGAAAGCAUAAUAUGGGGUUCUAUCCAAAUUCCCUAAUUCAGGUGCCUCUGAGGGGAAACGCGCAGCAAUCAGGCAAGAAAGUUCAGUGCUAUGAGCCUGCUACUAUGAAAUAUUUGGGAUAUGUUCCUGCUUUGACACCAGAUGAGAUUUUUUUGCAAAGUGACAUGCUUUAA